CAUUCCAGUACCAACACUGCACACAUAUACACUACUACAUUCCAACGCUAACACUGCACACAAAUACACCACUGCAUGUGUAUCUGUGUGUAUCUCAGUGUUUGUGUAAGUGUGCAUCUGUGUGGCAUGCAUUCAUUUGCCAACACUGCACACAAAUACACCCCUGCAUGUGUACCCGUGUGUCUGUGUGCAUCUUAAUGUGUGUCUAUAUCUGUGUCAGUGUGUGUAAGUGUGUAUCUCUGUGUGUGGAUGUGCCAGUGUUUUUAUCUUUGUAUCUGUGUGUGUGUGUAUGUAUGUAUGU
This is a non-coding RNA of Pelobates cultripes (western spadefoot toad), 301 nucleotides long. Lineage: Eukaryota; Metazoa; Chordata; Amphibia; Anura; Pelobatidae. The record is from the annotation of a GenBank genome assembly.